This is a long non-coding RNA of Sapajus apella (tufted capuchin), 5044 nucleotides long. RefSeq lists it as uncharacterized. The record is from RefSeq and is a predicted model, not a curated record. The transcript has 2 exons. Lineage: Eukaryota; Metazoa; Chordata; Mammalia; Primates; Cebidae.
CAAGAGGAUCACCUGAGCCUUGUAUGCUGAGACUGCAGUGAGCCAAGAUCACUGCACUUCAGCCUUGGCGAUGGAAUGAGACCCUGUCUCAAAUAAGUAAAUAAAUUGACAUUAGCUGUUUGUUUAAUAGAAUUAUUAAUUUGGAACAACUUUCUAUGCUGUUUGGCAUCAUAUAAUAUAAAAUCUUUGUAAAAGAGUUAAAACAUUUUUAAAAUAAUUAUUUAAAUUAUUAAUGUGUUAUUUACACAUUUUUGGAAAAAAAUCCUAAAAGCUUGUGUGUGUGUGUUGUGUGUCUAUGUUGUGUAUAUGUGUAAAAUUUGUGCCUCAAGCUACAGAGCAUUACAUAAAGAAUGGCUGCCUUCUUUUUUUUAAACAACUGGUUGCAAGUUCUGUGGACUGGGCCCUUCGUGACCGGUGAGAAUUGGCAGUAGUUUGAGAUAGGUGGCGGUGGUAAAGUUGAUGAAAAGAAAUUCUGGAUGUAUUUUGAAGGUCAAGUCAGCAAAGAUUUGUUGUCGAUUGGAUGUGAAGUGUGAGAAAGAGUGAAGUUAGGAUGUCAUCAAGACUUUUGGCCUGAGCAACUGGAGGAUGGGUGGGAGGAGCAGGCAUUGGGGGAUAACGUCAGGAGCUCGAUCUGCCACUUGUGAGGCUGACACAUCUGUUUGAUAGUGAGAUGGAGAGCAGUAAGCAGUUAGAUAUAGAAGCUGAGAGUGAGGGGAGAAGUACAAGGUAAGAUUUAAAUUUGAGACUCAUUGGUAUAUGCACAGCAUUUAAAGCCAUGAGGCUAGAUUAACUCACCAAGGUAGUGAAGGCUGAAAGAAAGAAGAGGUCUGAGGAAGGAACUCUUGGUUACAGGUUGGGGAAUGAAGGGAAAGUACCCUUGAAAAGGGAAAUCUCCUUGGCCUGGUGACAUAGACACCAGAUAAAGAAAACAUUUCAAGAAGUGACUGUGCUGUAUGCUGAUAAUAAGUUCUGUAAGAGGAGAACUGAGAAUUCACUGGAUCUGGCAGUGUGACAGCCAUUGGUGAAAUGGUGGAGUAAAGCCUGAGAGAUUCAAAAGAGAAUAGAGGAGAAUCAGAGGCACUGUGUCUGUGUGAGUCUUGAGUUCUGCCACAGAGUGAAGGAAGGAAGUGGGGUCAUAGCUGGAAAAAAGAAAGGGAUCAAGAGAUAGUUUUUUACUUGUUUUAUUUUAAAUUGGGGGAAUUAGCAGCAUGUAUAUGCUGAUGGGAAUGAUUCAGCAGGGAGGAAAAAACGGGCAAGUUGGCGGGGUUGCAUGAACAACCUCAUAGGCAUUAUUGAGCUUUUCAUAUUUUGUUUAAUCGUAAACAAACAAACAUUACUGUGUUUGUCACUCAGAAUACACGGAUAGACAGAUGAAGGUGCUUUUCUCCUAGUCUAAGCUCUGUUUUUAAAAUUUAUUUUUUGGAAAUAGAGAACUUCCUCUGUUGCCCGGGAUGGAGUACAGUGGCACAGUCUCAGCUCACUGCAGCCUCCUGGGCUCAAGCCGCCCUCCCACUUCAGCCUCCCGAGUAGCUGGGACCACAGGUGCAUGCCACUAUGUCUGGCCAAUUUUUUAAAUUUUUUCCUGGACUCAAGCUAUCUUCUGCCUCAGCCUCCCAAAGUGCUACGAUUAAAGGUGUGCGCCACCGCACCUGGCCCUAACCUUUAUUUUUGAGUUAACUUUGCUGGCCAGUCAUUGGAAUGCUGAAUUAGAGAUUUCUUGAAAAGACAGAAAAUCUGUGACUGAAAAUUUUUUCAUGGUUUUUGCUGUUAACCUCAAUUUUGCUUUUGACCAAUAUAAAAUUUCUUCGUCCAUUUCAGUCAUUGUACAGACAUUUUAGACAUAGCAGAUUAUUUAAUCUUCGUAAUAACUAUAUAGCAGAUUUUAAUAUCCCCCAUUUUAUAAAUGAGGAAAGUGGGAAUCAAAGAAGUUAAAUCACUUGCCCAAGAUCACAUAGCUUGUGAUUGGCAGUGUCAAGAUGUAAACCCAGGUCUGAAUCUUCAGAUUAUUAAGUAGUACUUAGUAAUAAAGUUAUUGAGCUUCUACUUUCUAUAAAAAUGACAAUUUGCUAGCACUUUACAUGAACUGUGUGGAAUUCAUAAUAUUUUCAGUGCUUAGUAGUGUGGCUUAUAAACUUCGUAGUAAAAUUUUAAGGUAUUUGAAAAUACAAAUAGUCUGACUUAGAAGAGUCAAUCUCAGUUUUGAUAAACCAAUAAAAUUAGGUUAUCUAAAUUAUGCACUUGAUAAUUUGCUGUUUAUGGACUAGACUGUGCUAGAAUAAUCCAAUUGUUUAUUCAUAAUUAUUAUGGAAUUUCAUUUCACAUAGAACACAUAUGUUAAAUAUAAACAUACAUUUGCAUUUCAAAUGAUUGCCGGGUGGUAUAUCAUUUAAUCAGAUGUUCCAAAGAAGGAGAGGUAUUAGAAGCUAUCUUGUUAGCGAACAAAGCAGGGACAUUUGCCUAGCAUUGAAGAUGGUAGAAUGUGAACUUCUUUGUUUUAUGGCACUAAUACAAGGAUUGCAGCCUAAAUAAGAUAUUUUGGUGAGAAAAAAAUAUUUUCUGGUUUUUCACUACUGAAUAUAAGAAUAUGUGGAAUCCUUUUAUAUUGCAUGUUUAUGUCUAACUAAAAAGAGAGACUGCAUGUACACUGUCUCCCUACAUAUAGAUCAUUAGGCAUAUCAGUUUGAUCUCCAUGUCUGAGAAGGCUUACAGAAUAAUGAACCCACUGAUAACUUUUCAAGGACACAUCUUUUGAAGGCAGUAGUGUUUAUUAAUUUCCUGGUUUGUUCAUUCUAACAUCAUUUGUGGGCCGCCCCUGAGCCAUGCACUGUGGGAAGACAGGGCUACCCAGUAGAGUGGUAAAAGCCUUACCUGUUGACUUUCUAAGCAAAUUCUUAUGGAUAACCCUGUGCUGAGGCUUGCAGACCGCAAUGUGGUAUAUUUAAGUCUGCGUUUAGAGAGUAUUGAUGACAAUUAUGAGGUUACCCUGAGUCCAGUAAGAACUUCUGUCACUGUGUACUGUCUCAUCUUUUUAUGACUAAAAAAGCAGUCUCGGUCAGAAAACAUUGAACAGAAAUGGUCCAAGUCUACACACUCAAUCAAUAAUUGAUGACGUUCCAGAUAAAUGCAGGUAAAUCAAAAUCAACUCCAGUGUCAAAUUUUAAGUAGCUAGCUUGAACUGGAUUAAAUCUCUGAUAGAAACCCAGUUCCAAUACAAAAGGGUGCCAUCUAAUGGCUAAGCUAGAGCAGCUUGAUAGAAGUGCUGGUAGUUCCUAUUUUAAUUCACAGCUACAUCUGCUGGCCUAAAAGGGAACAUGUUUAAAAUGCUUAAAGUGAAACUUAGUUCCUUAAAAGUAUUUUGGUUUUACUGUUUGUUUAUUCAUAAUUAUUCUGGAAUUUCAUUUCACAUAGAACACAUACAAUAACAUUAAAUAUAAACACACGUGUAUUUUGCACAAUGACAUGUCAUUUAAUCAGAGGUUCCAAAGAAAGAGAGGUAGGGGAAGAUGUCUUGUUAGCAGACCAAAGCAGAUAAGUUUGCCCACCAUUGGCAAUGAGGAGAAAUCAGUGCCAGUUCAAUAUCUACCCUGCUCCCCUGCCCAGCCUGGCCAGCAAGCACGUCUUGACCAUUCAGUUUGUGUUCAUUGAUUACUUUCAAUUAUGGCAUUUUAUCGUUUGAUUAUGAUUAAGAUAGCACUAAUCUUAUCGCAAUAACUUAAUUGUGGAAAAAAAGAUGAACAUUUCCUUUGGGUUUAUAGUCUCCUAAAUCAGCUGUGUACAUACAUGACCUUGGAAUGCAUGCUGGGGCACUCUGAUGAGGCCAGGUGAGUGCACAUGGGGCACUAUGAUGAGGCCAGGUGAGUGCACACUGGGGCACUAUGAUGAGGCCAGGUGAGUGCACACGGGGGCACUCUGAUGAGGCCAGGUGAGUGCACACUGGGGCACCAUGAUGAGGCCAGGUGAGUGCACACUGGGGCACCAUGAUGAGGCCAGGUGAGUGCACAUGUGGCACUCUGAUGAGGCCAGGUGAGUACAUGCUGGGACACUGUGAUUAGGUUGUUUUAUCAGGACAGAUUAAGUUUGGAGAAUAGUUGAGGUAAAUUAUCUAAAGAAUUUUUGUACUAACUGGUGAUUCCCUAACUAUCAAGAAAAAGAAACCUUGCUGUUUACAUACGGUUAUUUACAUGUAACUCAAGAGCAGUGACUUUUAAACUUUUUACCUUUUAUUAUUUGUAGUAGGUAUUGAUACUUGAAGGAUUCUUAAGAGGUUUAGGAAAACAAUUAAAAUAAGUAAAAUUUUAAAAAAAUAGGUAGAUUAUUUAUAGCUAGACUACCUUGACUUUUUUCCUCCCCUUAAAACAGGAAACAUUAGAUAUCUAAAUAACUCCUAGUUUGUGUGAGUAGAACUUUAUCAAAGGUGUAUGUGCUAUGUCUAUGGACCUGUGCUCUGCGUUUGUGAGGAGGUGGUUAUCUCAAAGGACUGGUAGAAUUGCCAUUGCCAACCUUUAUUGUGGCUUCUAGAGAAUGUAUUCAUGAUACCUAGUAUAGUGGGAAUUUACAGAUAAUUUAUAGCUGUUGUUCUCAUAGGAGCUGAAACCUCAAUUGUAAUAAAAACCAUAAAUGAAAAUGUUUCUAGUUAUUGUGAAAUACUUUAAAUUGUCCAGAGAUUUAAAUUUUAAAAUUAAUUUAUAAAUGAAGGGAGUUUUUGAUUUAUUUUUUACCCCUUUAGCAUGGGAUAAGAAGCAUUUGUUAGUCUGGGCACAGUGGCUCAUGCUUGCAAUCUCAGCACUUUGGGAGACUGAGGCAGGAGGAUUGCUUGAGCCUGGGAGUUUAAGACCAGCCUAGGCAACACAGUGGGACCCCGCCUCUACAAAAAAAUGUUUAAAAUUAGUUGGGCAUGGUGGCACAUGCCCGUAGUCCCAGCUACUCAGGAGGCUGAGCUGUGGGAGGAGUACCUGAGCCUGGCUAGGGCUUAAGAGUGUAGCAAGACAAGAUUACACCGCUGCAUUCCAGCCUGGGUGACAGAGAUAGACCUGUCUCAAAAAAA